RNAcentral lists this long non-coding RNA (1225 nucleotides) under Anas platyrhynchos platyrhynchos (common mallard). RNAcentral's name for it is "lncRNA (ENSAPLG00000027843.1)". The record is from RNAcentral. Lineage: Eukaryota; Metazoa; Chordata; Aves; Anseriformes; Anatidae.
GUCAUGAUAGACAUCCUUAGUGCUCUCACACACUGAUGCUUUCCUUUCCCUCUGCCCAUGGUUGGGAGGGAACUGGUGGCAUCCAGCACUGGCUCUUCUCCCACACUGAAAGCCCUGUAGGACCCAGGGAUUUUUUCCUUCUUUCCUUCCAGCACCUCACAGAAGUCUCACUAAUACUAUUGGUAUUAAUAUUUAACCUGGUGAAGCACAUGAGGCUGUAGGGUACAUCUGACUGGAAGGUCCAGGUUCCUGCUCAAAGCCAGGCUGAUUUAAUCCAGGUUGCUCAGAGCCUUGUCCAGGCUGAUUUUGAAUACCUCUGAAGAUGGAGCAUCUCUGGGCUCCUGCUCCCUCUGUGCAAUCUUUGCUUGUGCUGGGUUGGAGUUUCCCUUGCUGCAGACUGUUCCUGUGUCCUCGUCCUUUUGCUGUCACCCCGAGGAGAUGGACCCUGGGGAUCAGCCUGGUGGGGCUGGCAAGGAGCACAGGAGGCGGUACAGUGGGCCAGCUCUGACUACAUCUGGAAGUGUCCCUUACUUUUUCCUUUUAAAGGAAGGUGCCAGAAACUCUCCACUGACGACAGCUUCUGCUUUAGGCAACCUCUUCAUGCUAAUUAUUAUAGAUUGGCUCCAGCAAUGAAGUAAGACUUCAAAGUAAGAGUAAGACUAUUACUCUUUUAAUUAAGAGUCAACUUAAAUCACCUUUAGCAAAGCAGCAUUCAUACCCAAUUCUUUCUGCCUCCUUACCUUCAACAGUGCCCUGUAGCAUCAAGCACAUCCACAGCAUAAUUCAGGCAGGAAUUUUCUCUUGUAUUUGAGUUGAUUCUGUGUUUAAUUUCAUUGCUGUUCCCUUCCUACCACCUCCAGCUUGUGCCUUGAGACAGGAAGAACAUGAAUAUCCCUUCUGCCUUCUCCAAGGUCCUCGCUUCUCAUCCCAGAUGGGAGCUGGCUGUAGGGUCUCCCCUGCAGCUGACCUGAACCAUGGGCUCAGCAGCUCUAUGAACAGCUCUGAUAGUGCUGCUGCACAAACGGUAUCUUCCAAGAGGGGCAGAGCCAACAUCUGGAGGACAGAAACCUCUGCAGUCACCCUACAAGCUAAAUGGUUCCUGCUCAUGAAAUGGGACUUUCAGGUAAAUAGAAAGGAGCAGUUUUUAUUCUCUACUUGGCAGGAUGGCGUACAACCACCCUACCUGAGCAAAGAGUGGAAAGACAUCUACGUUUUCUGCAUGUGA